This is an unclassified non-coding RNA of 301 nucleotides. The stretch from base 1 to 71 matches the Rfam family "5.8S ribosomal RNA", at positions 84 to 154 of the family's 154-position model.
GUGAGUCAUCGAAUCUUUGAACGCACAUUGCGCCCGCUAGUAUUCUGGCGGGCAUGCCUGUUCGAGCGUCAUUUCAACCCUCAAGCUCUGCUUGGUGUUGGGAAUCGGCGUAGCGGCCUUCGGGCAGCUGCCGUUCCCUAAAUCUAGUGGCGGUCCCGCUGUAGCCUCCUCUGCGUAGUAGUUUUCUCCUCGCACCGGCAGCUUAGUGGUGACCUCGCCGUAAAACCCCCAACUUCUGAAAGGUUGACCUCGAAUCAGGUAGGAAUACCCGCUGAACUUAAGCAUAUCAAUAAGCGGAGGA